CAGUCGCCACGGUAAUACAGAGGGUGCAAGCGUUAAUCGGAAUUACUGGGCGUAAAGCGCGCGUAGGUGGUUUGUUAAGUUGGAUGUGAAAUCCCCGGGCUCAACCUGGGAACUGCAUCCAAAACUGGCAAGCUAGAGUAUGGUAGAGGGUGGUGGAAUUUCCUGUGUAGCGGUGAAAUGCGUAGAUAUAGGAAGGAACACCAGUGGCGAAGGCGACCACCUGGACUGAUACUGACACUGAGGUGCGAAAGCGUGGGGAGCAAACAGGAUUAGAUACCCCUGUAGUCCUGUCUCUUAUACA
RNAcentral lists this ribosomal RNA (301 nucleotides) under uncultured bacterium. Its description in RNAcentral is "partial 16S ribosomal RNA". It matches the Rfam family "Bacterial small subunit ribosomal RNA", at positions 509 to 809 of the family's 1533-position model. The record is from RNAcentral.